This is a long non-coding RNA of Panonychus citri (citrus red mite), 895 nucleotides long. RefSeq lists it as uncharacterized. The record is from RefSeq and is a predicted model, not a curated record. NCBI's taxonomy places the organism in Eukaryota, Metazoa, Arthropoda, Arachnida, Trombidiformes, Tetranychidae. The transcript has 4 exons.
AUGAAGACAUCAUAAUCCAUUUUUGAAUGAUUAUUCCUCAUCCCGAUUACCCUGAUCAUCCCAUUUUUAUAAUGUUAUCAAAAUGAACACCUUUGUAUCUAUAAGGUAAUUCUCAAUCUUAUAAUCAUCUCUCUCUCUCUCUGUCAUAACCGUUUAAAUAGGUAAAUAUUAUUCAGGAAAUUACUGAGAAAUCUGAAUAACGCAUGACAAUUUUGACUUACUUUUUAUCGCAAGUUAAAUAAAAUGAAAAAAUAUCUUAUAUUCAGUUGACGAAAAGCCUCUAACAAUUAACGUGAAGUUUUUUUGUAUCAUCAACGAUAAUUACGUUCAUUUGUUGGUUUAGUUAAAUUUAGUUUGUUAAUUGUUGUAUCAAAAGUUGAUUAAGUGAAUCAAAUUGUUUCUAAGUUGAUUGCUCACUUCCCAAAUCGGAUAAGUUAUUUUUUUUCAACAGGAAUAAAUCAUCAGAAAAGAUCAAUAUGUUAUCAUCCAGCAGAAAGUUAUUCGGAUUGAGUCAAACAAUCGUUUUAUCGAUGGUCCUUUUAAUCGCAAUUUGGAAAGUUUCAGAAGCCAAGGAACGAAGUAUGUUCUUCAUGAACGGAAGAUAUGGAAGAGUAGAUCCAAAUGUUAGGCGACUUUUUGUAAACAAUCUGAGGAGAGAGAGAUCAGACUCGAACAAUGAACAACAAUCGACAACGGGGAAAACAUUUCCAUAUGAUUGUCGAUUGAAUUCAAAUGGACAAUUGAUCUUGUGUACCGUUUUUCGUGUUCCAGAAAUGAUCGAAGAACAGAAUUGAACAAUUCCAAUCCAAAUCGAACUUAAUCACAAAGUGAUAUAAUUAAACAUCAUCUCACAGCAACUGGAACAUUAAGAGAGAUCAUAAUUUGAAUUCACCAA